This 502-nucleotide ribosomal RNA is filed under the name uncultured bacterium. RNAcentral's name for it is "partial 16S ribosomal RNA". It matches the Rfam family "Bacterial small subunit ribosomal RNA", at positions 30 to 523 of the family's 1533-position model. The record is from RNAcentral.
AUUGAACGCCGGCGGCAUGCCUUACACAUGCAAGUCGAACGGCAGCACGGGAGCUUGCUCCUGGUGGCGAGUGGCGAACGGGUGUGUAAUGCAUCGGAACGUACCCGGAAGUGGGGGAUAACGUAGCGAAAGUUACGCUAAUACCGCAUAUUCUGUGAGCAGGAAAGAGGGGGAUCGCAAGACCUCUCGCUUUCGGAGCGGCCGAUGUCGGAUUAGCUAGUUGGUGGGGUAAAGGCCUACCAAGGCGACGAUCCGUAGCGGGUCUGAGAGGAUGAUCCGCCACACUGGAACUGAGACACGGUCCAGACUCCUACGGGAGGCAGCAGUGGGGAAUUUUGGACAAUGGGCGAAAGCCUGAUCCAGCCAUGCCGCGUGAGUGAAGAAGGCCUUCGGGUUGUAAAGCUCUUUCGGCUGAAAAGAAAUCGCACAGGCUAAUACCCUGUGUGGAUGACGGUACCGGAAUAAGAAGCACCGGCUAACUACGUGCCAGCCGCCGCCGUAA